GGAGAGAUGGUUCAAUGGUUAAGAGCACUGGCUACUCUUGCAGAGGACCUGGGUUCAGUUCCCAGUCCCUACA
Molecule: transfer RNA, 73 nt
Organism: Neotoma lepida (desert woodrat)
Lineage: Eukaryota; Metazoa; Chordata; Mammalia; Rodentia; Cricetidae
Rfam family: tRNA
About the family: Transfer RNA (tRNA) molecules are approximately 80 nucleotides in length. Their secondary structure includes four short double-helical elements and three loops (D, anti-codon, and T loops).
Source: Rfam